CGAGCACGCGCGUGUGGCAUAUCAAUAAGCGGAGGAAAAGAAACUAACAAGGAUUCCCUUAGUAACGGCGAGUGAAGCGGGAAGAGCUCAAAUUUGAAAUCUUCAAGGUUCUACCUUGGACGAAUUGUAGUUUAUAGAAGUGUUUUCUGUUAGUGGAGUGGCAAAAGUUCUUUGGAAUAGGACAUCAUAGAGGGUGAGAAUCCCGUAUUUGGUCAUUCCUCCUAGCGUUGUGAUACACUUUCAACGAGUCGGAUUGUUUGGGAAUGCAGUCCAAAAUGGGUGGUAAAUUUCAUCUAAAGCUAAAUAUUGGCGAGAGACCGAUAGCGAACAAGUACCGUGAGGGAAAGAUGAAAAGAACUUUGAAAAGAGAGUUAAACAGUACGUGAAAUUGUCAAAAGGGAAGCGUUUGACACCAGUGUUGUUUUUCCGAAAAUCAAUUACGAAUGUUUUAGUUUUUGAGGAGUUAUGACUUCAUCGGCUUGCUCCUUUCUUUAUGAAACUUUCUUAAUGCACUUUUCGGUUAACAAGUCAACAUCAAUUUCUUUUGUUGUAAAAGGGUAUGAGGAAGGUGGCUUUCUUUUCGGAGAAAGUGUUUAUAGCCUUGUGCCUCUGCAAUCGGAGAGAUUGAGGUCUGCAGCGUAGAUCCUUCGGGGUUAGAUACGUUUGUGCUAAGUUAUAGCUUUCCAUAGACAACUUGUUGACUAUGUUUAGUCUUGUAGCUUACUCGCUGACGCUAUUUUACCUACGCUUAGGAUGUUGAGCGCAUGUCUCUCUCU
Molecule: ribosomal RNA, 776 nt
Filed under: uncultured Neocallimastigales
Lineage: Eukaryota; Fungi; Neocallimastigomycota; Neocallimastigomycetes; Neocallimastigales
Description: partial large subunit ribosomal RNA
Rfam family: Eukaryotic large subunit ribosomal RNA
Source: RNAcentral